RNAcentral lists this ribosomal RNA (253 nucleotides) under uncultured bacterium. RNAcentral's name for it is "partial 16S ribosomal RNA". It matches the Rfam family "Bacterial small subunit ribosomal RNA", at positions 524 to 776 of the family's 1533-position model. The record is from RNAcentral.
UACGUAGGCAGCAAGCGUUGUUCGGAGUUACUGGGCGUAAAGGGUGCGUAGGCGGUUGUUUAAGUUUGGUGUGAAAUCUCCCGGCUCAACUGGGAGGGUGCGCCGAAUACUGAAUGACUAGAGUGCGGGAGAGGAUAGUGGAAUUCCUGGUGUAGCGGUGAAAUGCGUAGAUAUCAGGAGGAACACCGGUGGUGUAGACGGCUAUCUGGACCGUAACUGACGCUGAGACGCGAAAGCGUGGGGAGCGAACAGG